CCGAGUGAGGGCCUCUGGCCCGACCUCCAACCCUUUGUUAUCAAAACCACGUUGCCUCGGGGGCGAACGCCGCGCCUGUCCGCGUCAGGGCCCCCGGCGGACCAUUUCAAAACUCUGCAUCUUUGCGUCGGGUUUAAAAGUUUAAUUGAUUA
Molecule: unclassified non-coding RNA, 152 nt
Filed under: uncultured fungus
Lineage: Eukaryota; Fungi
Description: sequence contains ITS1, 5.8S rRNA gene
Source: RNAcentral